This 468-nucleotide ribosomal RNA is filed under the name uncultured bacterium. RNAcentral's name for it is "partial 16S ribosomal RNA". It matches the Rfam family "Bacterial small subunit ribosomal RNA", at positions 28 to 507 of the family's 1533-position model. The record is from RNAcentral.
GACGAACGCUGGCGGCGUGCUUAACACUCGCAAGUCGAACGGAAAGGCCCUGCUUUUGUGGGGUGCUCGAGUGGCGAACGGGUGAGUAACACGUGAGUAACCUGACCUUGACUUUGGGAUAACUUCAGGAAACUGGGGCUAAUACCGGAUAGGAGCUUUUGCUGCACGGUGGGGGUUGGAAAGUUUCGUCGGAUGGGGAUGGACUCGCGGCUUAUCAGCUUGUUUGUGGGGUAUUGGCUUACCAAGGCUUUGACGGGUAGCCGGCCUGAGAGGGUGACCGGCCACAUUAGAACUGAGGUACGGCCCAGACUCCUACGGGAGGCAGCAGUGGAGAAUAUUGCAGAGUAGGCGGAAGCCUGAUGCAGAAGCGUCGCGUGCGGAAUGACGGCCUUCGGGUUGUAAACCGCUUUCGCCUGUAAUGAAGCGUGAGUGACGGUAAUGAGUAAAAAAGCAACGGCUAACUACGUG